RNAcentral lists this ribosomal RNA (676 nucleotides) under Marinococcus sp. SCULCB YCSS-1. Its description in RNAcentral is "bacterial SSU rRNA". It matches the Rfam family "Bacterial small subunit ribosomal RNA", at positions 58 to 706 of the family's 1533-position model. Lineage: Bacteria; Bacillati; Bacillota; Bacilli; Caryophanales; Bacillaceae. The record is from RNAcentral.
CUGGCUCAAGGCCGGAUUCCUUCGGGAGGCAACCGGUGGAACGAGCGGCGGACGGGUGAGUAACACGUGGGCAACCUGCCGGACUGAUGGGAAUAACCCCGGGAAACCGGGGCUAAUGCCCAAUACGCCCUGACCUCGCCUGAGGUCAGCGGUAAAGCAGGGAUCUUCGGAUCCUUGCACAGUCCGAUGGGCCCGCGGCGCAUUAGCUAGUUGGAGAGGUAAGGGCUCCCCAAGGCGACGAUGCGUAGCCGACCUGAGAGGGUGAUCGGCCACACUGGGACUGAGACACGGCCCAGACUCCUACGGGAGGCAGCAGUAGGGAAUCAUCCGCAAUGGGCGAAAGCCUGACGGUGCAACGCCGCGUGAGUGAUGAAGGUUUUCGGAUCGUAAAGCUCUGUUGACAGGGAAGAACCCACGCCAGUCGAACAGGCUGGCGUGCUGACGGUACCUGUCCAGAAAGCCCCGGCUAACUACGUGCCAGCAGCCGCGGUAAUACGUAGGGGGCAAGCGUUGUCCGGAAUUAUUGGGCGUAAAGGGCACGCAGGCGGUUUCGUCAGUCCGAUGUGACAGGCCACGGCUCAACCGUGGAAGGCCAUUGGAAACUGCGAAACUUGAGGACAGAAGAGGAGAGUGGAAUUCCACGUGUAGCGGUGAAAUGCGCAGAUAUCGGGAGGAA